This 761-nucleotide ribosomal RNA is filed under the name Prevotella melaninogenica. RNAcentral's name for it is "bacterial SSU rRNA". It matches the Rfam family "Bacterial small subunit ribosomal RNA", at positions 28 to 776 of the family's 1533-position model. Lineage: Bacteria; Pseudomonadati; Bacteroidota; Bacteroidia; Bacteroidales; Prevotellaceae. The record is from RNAcentral.
GAUGAACGCUAGCUACAGGCUUAACACAUGCAAGUCGAGGGGAAACGGCAUUGAGUGCUUGCACUCUUUGGACGUCGACCGGCGCACGGGUGAGUAACGCGUAUCCAACUUUCCCAUUACUGUGGGAUAACCUGCCGAAAGGCAGACUAAUACCGCAUAGUCUUCGAUGACGGCAUCAGAUUUGAAGUAAAGAUUUAUCGGUAAUGGAUGGGGAUGCGUCUGAUUAGCUUGUUGGCGGGGUAACGGCCCACCAAGGCAACGAUCAGUAGGGGUUCUGAGAGGAAGGUCCCCCACAUUGGAACUGAGACACGGUCCAAACUCCUACGGGAGGCAGCAGUGAGGAAUAUUGGUCAAUGGACGGAAGUCUGAACCAGCCAAGUAGCGUGCAGGAUGACGGCCCUAUGGGUUGUAAACUGCUUUUGUAUGGGGAUAAAGUUAGGGACGUGUCCCUAUUUGCAGGUACCAUACGAAUAAGGACCGGCUAAUUCCGUGCCAGCAGCCGCGGUAAUACGGAAGGUCCAGGCGUUAUCCGGAUUUAUUGGGUUUAAAGGGAGCGUAGGCUGGAGAUUAAGUGUGUUGUGAAAUGUAGACGCUCAACGUCUGAAUUGCAGCGCAUACUGGUUUCCUUGAGUACGCACAACGUUGGCGGAAUUCGUCGUGUAGCGGUGAAAUGCUUAGAUAUGACGAAGAACUCCGAUUGCGAAGGCAGCUGACGGGAGCGCAACUGACGCUUAAGCUCGAAGGUGCGGGUAUCAAACAGG